RNAcentral lists this ribosomal RNA (260 nucleotides) under uncultured archaeon. RNAcentral's name for it is "partial 16S ribosomal RNA". It matches the Rfam family "Archaeal small subunit ribosomal RNA", at positions 748 to 1008 of the family's 1478-position model. The record is from RNAcentral.
CAGCCGUAAACAAUGUGCGUUAGGUGUGUCGGUAACCACGCGUUACUGAUGCGCCGAAGAGAAAUCGUGAAACGCACCACCUGGGAAGUACGGUCGCAAGGCUGAAACUUAAAGGAAUUGGCGGGGGAGCACCACAACAGGUGGAGCCUGCGGUUUAAUUGGAUUCAACACCGUAAACUCACCAGGGAAGACUGUUACAUGAAGGCCGAGAUGAAGACUCUGCUAGAUUUUCAGAGAGGUGGUGCAUGGCGUCAGUGACU